This is a long non-coding RNA of Musa acuminata subsp. malaccensis (wild Malaysian banana), 397 nucleotides long. RefSeq lists it as uncharacterized. NCBI's taxonomy places the organism in Eukaryota, Viridiplantae, Streptophyta, Magnoliopsida, Zingiberales, Musaceae. The record is from RefSeq and is a predicted model, not a curated record.
AGAUCACCGCCCCUUCAGAGAAAUAUUUCCGUGGCCCGUUGGUGUUUGUCUCUUAUCGUGCGCCGAAAACCGUGGGCUGGAGGAGAGAGAGAGAAAGAGAGAGGAAAGUGAUCGCGGAGAUGUUCGAGCUGUUCGUCCUGGGGUGCACCGGCGUGGUGGUCUUCAUCCACGGCGCCAACUUCUUCUUCCGCGCCCUCUCCCAUCGCCUCACCGCCCGACCCCUCAGCUUCUUGGGAAUCGCUGGGUGGUGAAAGGGCUUCGAACGCGGAUGGAAUCGUGGGAACUCCUCAUCCAUGCGGAAGAUAAUUAUUGAUUGAUUAAGGCGAAGCAUGUAAUCUAUGUAUAUAUUCUGACGAUUUAUAUGAAUUAAAGACGAUCAAUUUGGCUUUACUCUUAA